UGCAGUGGUUCUGGACAGGGUUGUUGUGGCUCACUCUCUACAGCUCCAGGGCAKUGUCUGUACAGGACUGAACUCUAACAGAAGAUUGGCAAGACCUGCUGGGAUAGAACAGGAGACUGGAAGUGAGAAGAAUGACAAAUCAGGUCUACACCUGCUCUUUAGGUCACAUCUCCCUUCAAAGAUGUGCUCACUGCUGGGAAACUGGAGGGACAUUUUUGGGAACCAAAAAAGCCACAUAGCAGCAAGACUAUGAAACUGCAAAAGGAGAUGGAACAACUUUUAACAACACCAURAAAGACACAGAAUGGGGCAUUUGGCCUCCCAAGACAGAUGAGCAAGAAUAUUUCCACCAGCAAAGGGACUCCAUAYUGGACUGCACCAUAUGGAGUUUGGUGAUCCUAUGGGUUUCUCUGACCUGUGCAGYUGGAAAGGCCCAAGAAGGACACAAUAAUUGAUUUUAUUUUACAUUCUAAAAAUCCUGCUGUUCCUUUCUGGUGAGUUUCCAUGAGCAUAUCGAGGUAAAUAGCAAGUGCAUAGUAAUUAUUUUCCAUCCAGGUGAAGCUUAAGUGUGUGUUCAUUAGACUGGCAGGACUGACUCCUUUAACAAUUAAGAAUAUGUUAGUCAUCUACUUGUACUGAUAAUUUCCAUGGAUAUAAGUCUCCUUCCUUUUCAUUUUUCCAGUGCAAAUACUAGAAUAUUAUAGGUCUUUAUCCUCUUAUCUAGCAGCUCCCCUUAGCACAAAAGAGUUGAMCUUUUCAACUACACUUGCUAAUCAGUGUGGAGUUCCUAAUGUUGACUCCUGGGGCUGAAGCAAACACACCAGCAGUUCCCUGGGGCUGUUUCACCCCCACCAUCUCCACAUUUGGCUCUGCUCUGAUUAGUCUGUAUCACUCUGCUGCAGUGGCUCUUUAAAGCCUGUCUUUACAGACAGAGCACUCCUAAAUACCUAGCAUGUUAAUUGGACUGAUUUAGCUGUGCUCAGCUGCUGUUACUUCUGGCAACACUUCUGUGYUGAGCAGGGUGCAAGAGCUUUUAAAAGCUGCUCACUUACUAUGAG
Malurus melanocephalus (red-backed fairy wren) is the source of this 1058-nucleotide long non-coding RNA. RefSeq lists it as uncharacterized. Lineage: Eukaryota; Metazoa; Chordata; Aves; Passeriformes; Maluridae. The record is from RefSeq and is a predicted model, not a curated record. The transcript is spliced from 3 exons.